This 277-nucleotide long non-coding RNA is filed under the name Numida meleagris (helmeted guineafowl). RNAcentral describes it as "lncRNA (ENSNMEG00000021744.1)". Lineage: Eukaryota; Metazoa; Chordata; Aves; Galliformes; Numididae. The record is from RNAcentral.
UGGAUUUCCUCUCACCUCAGCACCCCUCAGACUUGGGCACUACACAGCACAAACAGCCAACACUCACCUUCAAUACCUUACUUCUGUAUUUCAAUACACAAACCUUAUUUAAGGUAGAACUAGUGUUCAACAGAUGGCAGUCACUUCUGCAGGAAGGAAGUAAAUCAAGAAAGAUGGUAGAAGUUACUACUUCUGCAGUUGUUUAUAACCUGAACAAAUGGAAGACCUAAGAAUUUCACCAGAAACUUGGAUGUAUAAGCUUGACCAUAAAAACAUG